This 628-nucleotide long non-coding RNA is filed under the name Triticum aestivum (bread wheat). RNAcentral describes it as "long non-coding RNA (TAES_LNC000924)". Lineage: Eukaryota; Viridiplantae; Streptophyta; Magnoliopsida; Poales; Poaceae. The record is from RNAcentral.
CAUGCGGGGACAAAUGCUACCACAAGCAGCCAAGCCCGGGCCCGAAGCCGCCAAGCCCGAAGCCGAACCCAGGCCCGAAGCCGCCAAGCCCGAAGCCCACUCCGCCAAAGCCCGCACCUCCGAACCACGGUGGUUCACCGAAGCCCACGCCGCCAAAGCCCACACCUCCAAACCACGGUGGUUCACCGAAGCCCACGCCGCCAAAGCCCACACCUCCGGACCACGGUGGUUCACCGAAGCCCAAGCCGCCGAGGCCAACCCCGCCGAAGCGGCCGUGCCCUCCUCAUGCGCCCAAGCCCAAGCCCAAGCCGAAGCCGUGUCCGCCAAAGCCCAAGCCCAAGCCGCCAUGCCCAUGCCCGCCAGCGGCCGAUGGAUCCGCGUCGACCGACAUCAGCAACAACUGAUGGGUGUACACUCAUCAAGCAGAGCUAGUGAUUAUGCUUGCUGGAUAUCGAUAUAGAUUAUUCUGUGAGGUUACUCUAUAGAUAAGAAGUAAAUCCAUCGGCUCUAACUAAGUUGGGUAUACUAUAGAUCAUGUGUACUGAAUGUCCCGAGCUAUGUAUGUACGUAUUGUGUAAUGAAAUUAAUGUGAGAAUAUAUUAAUCUCCUAUACGUUCAGCUAAGUUUA